This 229-nucleotide long non-coding RNA is filed under the name Sorghum bicolor (sorghum). RNAcentral describes it as "long non-coding RNA (SBIC_LNC011341)". The record is from RNAcentral. Lineage: Eukaryota; Viridiplantae; Streptophyta; Magnoliopsida; Poales; Poaceae.
GCGAAUUGUGGGAGUAUUGGCAAGUUGCCUUCCCUAACAUGAGAUUGGUGGAUAUGUUCGAGUUUGUUGGAUAUGAUAUUGAUGGCGAAGGAUCUGGAUUUAUCCAGUCGUUUGCGCGCCGAGGUUCAUGGCCUCCGGCUUAGGUGGAUGAUUUUGUUUUUCUUUUCGUUUAUCGUAGGUUUUGGUUAUAUUUUUUAUGACAUGAUUUGAUGUGUUUAUGUAGCUGCCA